UACAGAGGUCUCAAGCGUUGUUCGGAAUUACUGGGCGUAAAGGGUGCGCAGGCCGCGCGGGCAGUCAAAUGUGUAAUUCAGGGGCUCAACCCCUGCACUGCGCUUGAUACUUCCGCGCUCGAGCCUUGGAGAGGAGUCUGGAAUUCUCGGUGUAGCAGUGAAAUGCGUGGAUAUCGAGAAGAACACUUAGGGCGAAGGCAAGGCUCUGGACAAAUGCUGACGCUCAGGCACGAAGGCUAGGGUAGCGAACGGG
Molecule: ribosomal RNA, 253 nt
Filed under: uncultured bacterium
Lineage: Bacteria
Description: partial 16S ribosomal RNA
Rfam family: Bacterial small subunit ribosomal RNA
Source: RNAcentral